Non-coding RNA from Zonotrichia albicollis (white-throated sparrow), 633 nucleotides. The record is from RefSeq and is a predicted model, not a curated record. NCBI's taxonomy places the organism in Eukaryota, Metazoa, Chordata, Aves, Passeriformes, Passerellidae.
CCUCCCUCCUCUCCAGCCCCAAGAUGACUUUCUGCUACCAGCGGCAGUGUGAGGAACCCUGCUACUCCCCCUGCAGCUACGGCACCGUCUGCAGCACCCGCAGCUACGACUGCGGCAGCCCUUGCGGCUACCAGGGCUACUACGGGAGGCUCUGUGGCUACCGCGAGUACUGCCCGAGCUUCAGCUCCCGCUACUGCUCGCCCUACUCCUCCCGCUACUUCCAGAGAUACUCCUACGGCAGCUGCUACCCCUGCUACCAGUGCUGAGCCCAGCCCGGGCAGGGAAAACCCCAAAACCCGCCCUGAAGGCUCCUGGCUGGAUUGAUUUUACUCCUGGGUGGAUUUUGCUCCUGGGUGGAUUUUGCUCCAUCUCAUCUCCGGUUCCCUGAGGGUUUGGGAUCUCUUCCAUGAUGUUACUCUGAUUAAUUCACUUAUUUUUGCUGUUCCUUCUCUUUUGGGAUGAGGUUUUUGUGUGUCCGGAGGAGCUGGCUGUGCUGACAGCUCUGCUUCUCUGCUACACCAGCUUUACUCCCCAAAGUUCUGCUCUGGGGUGUAGCUACUCCUCAGUGUAUGAUGGCGUGAACCUCCUGUGCUACAACGAGCUGUAACUUCUUACUCUCAUUAAAAGAUCUUG